AAAUUGAAGAGUUUGAUCAUGGCUCAGAUUGAACGCUGGCGGCAGGCCUAACACAUGCAAGUCGAGCGGUAGCACAGAGAGCUUGCUCUCGGGUGACGAGCGGCGGACGGGUGAGUAAUGUCUGGGAAACUGCCUGAUGGAGGGGGAUAACUACUGGAAACGGUAGCUAAUACCGCAUAACGUCGCAAGACCAAAGUGGGGGACCUUCGGGCCUCAUGCCAUCAGAUGUGCCCAGAUGGGAUUAGCUAGUAGGUGGGGUAACGGCUCACCUAGGCGACGAUCCCUAGCUGGUCUGAGAGGAUGACCAGCCACACUGGAACUGAGACACGGUCCAGACUCCUACGGGAGGCAGCAGUGGGGAAUAUUGCACAAUGGGCGCAAGCCUGAUGCAGCCAUGCCGCGUGUGUGAAGAAGGCCUUCGGGUUGUAAAGCACUUUCAGCGGGGAGGAAGGCGUUAAGGUUAAUAACCUUGGCGAUUGACGUUACCCGCAGAAGAAGCACCGGCUAACUCCGUGCCAGCAGCCGCGGUAAUACGGAGGGUGCAAGCGUUAAUCGGAAUUACUGGGCGUAAAGCGCACGCAGGCGGUCUGUCAAGUCGGAUGUGAAAUCCCCGGGCUCAACCUGGGAACUGCAUUCGAAACUGGCAGGCUAGAGUCUUGUAGAGGGGGGUAGAAUUCCAGGUGUAGCGGUGAAAUGCGUAGAGAUCUGGAGGAAUACCGGUGGCGAAGGCGGCCCCCUGGGACAAAGACUGACGCUCAGGUGCGAAAGCGUGGGGAGCAAACAGGAUUAGAUACCCUGGUAGUCCACGCCGUAAACGAUGUCGAUUUGGAGGUUGUGCCCUUGAGGCGUGGCUUCCGGAGCUAACGCGUUAAAUCGACCGCCUGGGGAGUACGGCCGCAAGGUUAAAACUCAAAUGAAUUGACGGGGGCCCGCACAAGCGGUGGAGCAUGUGGUUUAAUUCGAUGCAACGCGAAGAACCUUACCUGGUCUUGACAUCCACAGAACUUAGCAGAGAUGCUUUGGUGCCUUCGGGAACUGUGAGACAGGUGCUGCAUGGCUGUCGUCAGCUCGUGUUGUGAAAUGUUGGGUUAAGUCCCGCAACGAGCGCAACCCUUAUCCUUUGUUGCCAGCGGUCCGGCCGGGAACUCAAAGGAGACUGCCAGUGAUAAACUGGAGGAAGGUGGGGAUGACGUCAAGUCAUCAUGGCCCUUACGACCAGGGCUACACACGUGCUACAAUGGCAUAUACAAAGAGAAGCGACCUCGCGAGAGCAAGCGGACCUCAUAAAGUAUGUCGUAGUCCGGAUUGGAGUCUGCAACUCGACUCCAUGAAGUCGGAAUCGCUAGUAAUCGUAGAUCAGAAUGCUACGGUGAAUACGUUCCCGGGCCUUGUACACACCGCCCGUCACACCAUGGGAGUGGGUUGCAAAAGAAGUAGGUAGCUUAACCUUCGGGAGGGCGCUUACCACUUUGUGAUUCAUGACUGGGGUGAAGUCGUAACAAGGUAACCGUAGGGGAACCUGCGGUUGGAUCACCUCCUUA
Molecule: ribosomal RNA, 1541 nt
Filed under: Klebsiella pneumoniae
Lineage: Bacteria; Pseudomonadati; Pseudomonadota; Gammaproteobacteria; Enterobacterales; Enterobacteriaceae
Description: bacterial SSU rRNA
Rfam family: Bacterial small subunit ribosomal RNA
Source: RNAcentral